UGCACAGCAACUUCUAUCCCUACCUCCUCGUGAUACUGGCCGGGGUACGAGUAACCUUGGGGAAGA
RNAcentral lists this ribozyme (66 nucleotides) under Aedes aegypti (yellow fever mosquito). RNAcentral describes it as "drz-agam-1 ribozyme". It matches the Rfam family "drz-agam-1 ribozyme". The record is from Rfam by way of RNAcentral. Lineage: Eukaryota; Metazoa; Arthropoda; Insecta; Diptera; Culicidae.